Molecule: ribosomal RNA, 2525 nt
Filed under: Drosophila serrata
Lineage: Eukaryota; Metazoa; Arthropoda; Insecta; Diptera; Drosophilidae
Description: eukaryotic LSU rRNA
Rfam family: Eukaryotic large subunit ribosomal RNA
Source: RNAcentral
UGGUAAAGCGAAUGAUUAGAGGCCUUAGGGUCGAAACGAUCUUAACCUAUUCUCAAACUUUAAAUGGGUAAGAACCUUAACUUUCUUGAUAUGAAGUUUAAGGUUAUGAUAUAAUGUGCCCAGUGGGCCACUUUUGGUAAGCAGAACUGGCGCUGUGGGAUGAACCAAACGUAAUGUUACGGUGCCCAAAUUAACAACUCAUGCAGAUACCAUGAAAGGCGUUGGUUGCUUAAAACAGCAGGACGGUGAUCAUGGAAGUCGAAAUCCGCUAAGGAGUGUGUAACAACUCACCUGCCGAAGCAACUAGCCCUUAAAAUGGAUGGCGCUUAAGUUGUAUACCUAUACAUUACCGCUAAAGUAGAUGAUUUAUAUUACUUGUAAUAUAAAUUUUGAAACUUUAGUGAGUAGGAAGGUACAAUGGUAUGCGUAGAAGUGUUUGGCGUAAGCCUGCAUGGAGCUGCCAUUGGUACAGAUCUUGGUGGUAGUAGCAAAUAAUCGAAUGAGACCUUGGAGGACUGAAGUGGAGAAGGGUUUCGUGUGAACAGUGGUUGAUCACGAGUUAGUCGGUCCUAAGUUCAAGGCGAAAGCCGAAAAUUUUCAAGUAAUAAAAUGACUAUAUAUUACAAAAAUGCCAAUUAAUAUACUUGAAUAAUUUUGAACGAAAGGGAAUACGGUUCCAAUUCCGUAACCUGUUGAGUAUCCGUUUGUUAUUAAAUAUGGGCCUCGUGCUCAUCCUGGCAACAGGAACGACCAUAAAGAAGCCGUCGAGAGAUAUCGGAAGAGUUUUCUUUUCUGUUUUAUAGCCGUACUACCAUGGAAGUCUUUCGCAGAGAGAUAUGGUAGAUGGGCUAGAAGAGCAUGACAUAUACUGUUGUGUCGAUAUUUUCUCCUCGGACCUUGAAAAUUUAUGGUGGGGAUACGCAAACUUCUCAACAGGCCGUACCAAUAUCCGCAGCUGGUCUCCAAGGUGAAGAGUCUCUAGUCGAUAGAAUAAUGUAGGUAAGGGAAGUCGGCAAAUUAGAUCCGUAACUUCGGGAUAAGGAUUGGCUCUGAAGAUUGAGAUAGUCGGGCUUGAUUGGGAAACAAUAACAUGGUUUAUGUGCUCGUUCUGGGUAAAUAGAGUUUCUAUCAUUUAUGUUAGUUGCUUGUUCCCCGGAUAGUUUAGUUACGUAGCCAAUUGUGGAACUUUCUUGCUAAAAUUUUUAAGAAUACUAGUUGGGUCAAACCAAUUAGUUCUUAUUAAUUAUAACGAUUAUCAAUUAACAAUCAAUUCAGAACUGGCACGGACUUGGGGAAUCCGACUGUCUAAUUAAAACAAAGCAUUGUGAUGGCCCUAGCGGGUGUUGACACAAUGUGAUUUCUGCCCAGUGCUCUGAAUGUCAAAGUGAAGAAAUUCAAGUAAGCGCGGGUCAACGGCGGGAGUAACUAUGACUCUCUUAAGGUAGCCAAAUGCCUCGUCAUCUAAUUAGUGACGCGCAUGAAUGGAUUAACGAGAUUCCUACUGUCCCUAUCUACUAUCUAGCGAAACCACAGCCAAGGGAACGGGCUUGGAAUAAUUAGCGGGGAAAGAAGACCCUUUUGAGCUUGACUCUAAUCUGGCAGUGUAAGGAGACAUAAGAGGUGUAGAAUAAGUGGGAGAUAUUAGACUUCGGUUUGGUAUCGACAAUGAAAUACCACUACUCUUAUUGUUUCCUUACUUACUUGAUUAAAUGGAACGUGUAUCAUUUCCUAGCCAUUAUACGGAUAUAUUUAUUAUAUCUUAUGGUAUUGGGUUUUGAUGCAAGCUUCUUGAUCAAAGUAUCACGAGUUUGUUAUAUAAUCGCAAACAAAUUCUUUAAUGAGACGAUGCAUUUAUGUAUUUUUGAUUUGAAAAUUUGGUAUAACUCCAAUUACUCAGGUAUGAUCCAAUUCAAGGACAUUGCCAGGUAGGGAGUUUGACUGGGGCGGUACAUCUCUCAAAUAAUAACGGAGGUGUCCCAAGGCCAGCUCAGUGCGGACAGAAACCACACAUAGAGCAAAAGGGCAAAUGCUGACUUGAUCUCGGUGUUCAGUACACACAGGGACAGCAAAAGCUCGGCCUAUCGAUCCUUUUGGUUUAAAGAGUUUUUAACAAGAGGUGUCAGAAAAGUUACCAUAGGGAUAACUGGCUUGUGGCGGCCAAGCGUUCAUAGCGACGUCGCUUUUUGAUCCUUCGAUGUCGGCUCUUCCUAUCAUUGUGAAGCAAAAUUCACCAAGCGUUGGAUUGUUCACCCAUGCAAGGGAACGUGAGCUGGGUUUAGACCGUCGUGAGACAGGUUAGUUUUACCCUACUAAUGACAAAACGUUGUUGCGACAGCAUUCCUGCGUAGUACGAGAGGAACCGCAGGUACGGACCAAUGGCACAAUACUUGUUCGAGCGAACAGUGGUAUGACGCUACGUCCGUUGGAUUAUGCCUGAACGCCUCUAAGGUCGUAUCCGUGCUGGACUGCAAUGAUAAAUAAGGGGCAAUUUGCAUUGUAUGGCUUCUAAACCAUUUAAAGUUUGU